UACGGAGGGGGCAAGCGUUAUUCGGAAUUAUUGGGCGUAAAGGGCGCGUAGGCGGCUAGAUGUGUCAAAGGUGAAAUCCCUCGGCUCAACUGAGGAACUGCCUUUGAAACUAUCUGGCUUGAGGCCGGGAGAGGGUAGCGGAAUUCCCAGUGUAGUGGUGAAAUGCGUAGAUAUCGGGAGGAACACCAGUGGCGAAGGCGGCUUCCUGGCCUGUUCUUGACGCUGAGGCGCGAGAGCUAGGGGAGCAAACGGG
Molecule: ribosomal RNA, 253 nt
Filed under: uncultured bacterium
Lineage: Bacteria
Description: partial 16S ribosomal RNA
Rfam family: Bacterial small subunit ribosomal RNA
Source: RNAcentral